UACCAACCUCAUCAACCCUGGUGUCAGGGUUACUGUGAGCCGUCAAAUUCCCUGAUAUACUUCAUGUAACGACUACUUACUUACAUCAGUAAGUACUUAGAAACCGGGACCAACGGCUUAACGUGCCUUCCAAAGCACGGAUCAUCUUACUUUCGGACAAUGAUGUGAUCAGCCUGUAAUGUCCUAACUAAGCUAGGGACAACAAAGUAUUUUUUGUGAUAUGUCACCGGGAAUCGAACUCAGGACAUCCGGAUCCUGAGCCCAACCACUGGACCACGGAGGUCAUUCGUGAUUUAUAAUAUCGAUCUUAAGACGAAUUAUAUCAAUUGUGGCUGCGAUUUGUGUUCAAAGUACCUAACUUGUGGUUCUACGCUCUCUAUAGCUGGAGCACGGGCGUGAAAUACGUCUCUAUUUAUAGUAUAGACUUCCUUGUUACAUAUUAAUCUUACAGCUACAGCUAGGAGUAAGUUGGUUGAUUGAUUGAUACGGCAUAGUUACGGAACAUCUGGCAUUCUGCCGCCAAGCUGAAUUCCCACCAAAGUGAAUUAGUGUAGGUGGCUGUAUCGCUGUUAUGUUGGCAGUAAACAAACAGCCUAUGUAGCUAUUUACAUGAUGGAAAGCAGCUAGCGCAAUUUAAUGGCAACACAGUAAACCUAACAACGGAUUUUUUUUAAUGCGAGUUUAAAUAGGUUCCUACGAGAGCGCACGCUCUCAUAAUAAAAUAAUAUCAGUCGGAUUGUGUUUAUUAGACGUCUAGGGCAAGUCCGGGAUAGAUGGCCUUAAAAGAGAGAUGGCCAAUCGAAAAACAUCUUAGAACCAUUCACCAGAUGAUGAAAACUGAAAAAGAUAUUAAGAAUACGAAGAGCUUAACAAAAAGUUAUCACACUAUCGCGGGUGUGAAACACGUCUCGUCAAAUAUGAAGCCAUGUGCUCUAAAUGCAGUCAAGAAAACAAAGAUGACAUAGAAUGAAAGUUAAGGUUUAAAACUAUUUAGUAAAUGUAGAAUUUAUUUAUGGCCAUCUUACC
Pectinophora gossypiella (pink bollworm) is the source of this 1026-nucleotide long non-coding RNA. RefSeq lists it as uncharacterized. The record is from RefSeq and is a predicted model, not a curated record. The transcript has 3 exons. Lineage: Eukaryota; Metazoa; Arthropoda; Insecta; Lepidoptera; Gelechiidae.